CCUACGGGAGGCAGCAGUGGGGAAUUUUGGACAAUGGGCGCAAGCCUGAUCCAGCAAUGCCGCGUGCAGGAUGAAGGCCUUCGGGUUGUAAACUGCUUUUGUACGGAGCGAAACGGUCUACUCUAAUACAGUGGGCUAAUGACGGUACCGUAAGAAUAAGCACCGGCUAACUACGUGCCAGCAGCCGCGGUAAUACGUAGGGUGCGAGCGUUAAUCGGAAUUACUGGGCGUAAAGCGUGCGCAGGCGGUUAUAUAAGACAGAUGUGAAAUCCCCGGGCUCAACCUGGGACCUGCAUUUGUGACUGUAUAGCUAGAGUGCGGCAGAGGGGGAUGGAAUUCCGCGUGUAGCAGUGAAAUGCGUAGAUAUGCGGAGGAACACCGAUGGCGAAGGCAAUCCCCUGGGCCUGCACUGACGCUCAUGCACGAAAGCGUGGGGAGCAAACAGGAUUAGAUACCCUGGUAGUCCACGCCCUAAACGAUGUCAACUGGUUGUGGGUCUUCACUGACUCAGUAACGAAGCUAACGCGUGAAGUUGACCGCCUGGGGAGUACGGCCGCGAAGGUUGAAACGUCAAAGGAUUGACGGNGNGAGAGNGCGAGGACGACGACGAGGGAGGAGG
RNAcentral lists this ribosomal RNA (619 nucleotides) under uncultured bacterium. RNAcentral's name for it is "bacterial SSU rRNA". It matches the Rfam family "Bacterial small subunit ribosomal RNA", at positions 338 to 951 of the family's 1533-position model. The record is from RNAcentral.